Gymnodraco acuticeps is the source of this 1066-nucleotide long non-coding RNA. RefSeq lists it as uncharacterized. The record is from RefSeq and is a predicted model, not a curated record. The transcript is spliced from 4 exons. Lineage: Eukaryota; Metazoa; Chordata; Actinopteri; Perciformes; Bathydraconidae.
UUGAAGACUUUAUCGAAGUACUCGGGCGGAUAAGUGCUCUUCGAGAUAUCAACACGGAUGACGAAGUUGUAAAUACUUUGACACUGAUUGAGCACCGUAUUCAUGUGGAAGAUGUCCAAGAAGUUGGUUCAAGCACAGGUGCAGGACGCCCGCCUCUGGAUAUUCCAGGCGAUAUGCUCGCUACCUAUGUGUUGUCCGGUCUAUCAACCCGAGAAAUUGCGGAUCUGUUUGGUGUGUCAUCCCGCACAAUUCAGAGGAGAUCGGUCGAAGAAGGCCUAAGAAAAUCAGACCUAUACUCUUCAAUUAACGAUGACGAUGUAGAUGCCUUAGUGAUGGAGAUUCAGCGCACUAAUCCAAAUGCUGGAUAUAAAAUGAUGCUGGGACAUCUACGGUCCAGAGGCAUACACAUUCAAAGGCAUCGAGUAAGGGCGUCAAUGCAGAGAGUUGAUCCAGGAGCAAUCUUGAUGCGAAGGUUAACCCUCCAGACUACAAGGCGUCGUCAGUACAAUGUUCCUGCACCAAAUAGUCUAUGGCAUAUAGACGGUAAUCACAAGCUGAUCAGGUCAGUUUUUCCUGCUGCUUUUUGAACUGUGUCCAUCAUAAUCUAGUAGGUGCUGCUCUUGAACUCCUGUCCUCAAGUGCUGGAGUCCUGCAGUUCUUUGUUCCAAGCCUGUACCACACCACCUGAAAUCACUAAAUAGUAACAUCAUGUGAGAAAACACAGGUUAAGGUGUGAUUGCUGAAAUAAGUAGGCCUAUCUACAGACAUUGCACCCCUGGAAGUAUUGAGUGUGAGACCAAUUUGAAGGCUGAGGAAAAAGUAACAUUAAAAGAUAUAUGGCCAGGUCAUUAAUACUUAAUGAUGCCUUUAUCCUUUUUUAAUACAAAAUAUUAGUUGGUUAGUUAGUUAGUUAGUUGAGGAUAUUAAUUGAACUCCUUGUCUACUCAUUAGAUAAUAAUUGAGUUUGAAUUUCAAACAAAAACACAAUUAGAUGCUACUAAAGGUACAGUCCUUGCAUGGGGGCAAGCCCUCUACCACAUACAUCCUAGCUAAAUAUGAGCUCUUC